GAUACAGAGCCUGAUUAAAGGAUUACCGUGAUAGGGUAAAAUAUGUAAAAAAUUACCUGUAUCU
RNAcentral lists this transfer RNA (64 nucleotides) under Glyptotermes sp. A TB-2014. Its description in RNAcentral is "tRNA-Ile". The record is from RNAcentral. Lineage: Eukaryota; Metazoa; Arthropoda; Insecta; Blattodea; Kalotermitidae.